Molecule: ribosomal RNA, 464 nt
Filed under: uncultured bacterium
Lineage: Bacteria
Description: partial 16S ribosomal RNA
Rfam family: Bacterial small subunit ribosomal RNA
Source: RNAcentral
CUACGGGAUGCUGCAGCUAAGAAUCUUCCGCAAUGGACGAAAGUCUGACGGAGCGACGCCGCGUGGAUGAUGAAUGCCGAGAGGUUGUAAAGUCCUUUUAUCAGAGAAGAAUAAUCAUGUCAGGGAAUGGGCGUGAGAUGACGUUAUCUGAUGAAUAAGCUCCGGCCAAUUACGUGCCAGCAGCCGCGGUAACACGUAAGGAGCGAGCGUUGUUCGGAAUUAUUGGGCGUAAAGGGCAAGCAGGCGGCCUUGUAAGUCUGGCGUGAAAUACCGUGGCUCAACCACGGAAACGCGCUGGAAACUGUGAGGCUAGAAUCCGUGAGGGGUAUGUGGAAUUCCUGGUGUAGGGGUGAAAUCUGUUGAUAUCAGGAAGAACACCUGAGGCGAAGGCGACAUACUGGCACUGGAUUGACGCUGAGAUGCGAAAGCGUAGGGAGUGAACAGGAUUAGAUACCCGGGUAGUC